RNAcentral lists this long non-coding RNA (312 nucleotides) under Nicotiana benthamiana. Its description in RNAcentral is "long non-coding RNA (NBEN_LNC003758)". The record is from RNAcentral. Lineage: Eukaryota; Viridiplantae; Streptophyta; Magnoliopsida; Solanales; Solanaceae.
UUACUUUAUCAUCUAUUUUGACAUUUCCUGCAGAGGACUUCUUUUGGAUUUGAUAUCCAUUUUGUACACUCAAAGCACCAGCAUUCUCUAUGCCUGCAUCUUUGUUAGGCCCAUCCCUGGCAUUGCUAUUAAAGAUAUUCAUAUUUGCUUGUUGUGAAUUGCUUGAUAGUAGCCCAUUCUCACGUUUUGCCAUCCCUGGCAUUGCUAUUAAACGUAUUCAUAUUUGCUUGCUGUGAAUUGCUUGAUAGUAGCACAUUCUCACGUUUUGGCUUCUCAAGAAGAAUGGUCCACCUUAGAAGAAAUUUCUGGGUA